UACGUAGGGUGCAGGCGUUAAUCGGAAUUACUGGGCGUAAAGCGUGCGCAGGCGGUUUCUUAAGUCAGAUGUGAAAGCCCCGGGCUUAACCUGGGAACUGCGUUUGAAACUGGGAGACUUGAGUGUGGCAGAGGGGGGUGGAAUUCCACGUGUAGCAGUGAAAUGCGUAGAGAUGUGGAGGAACACCGAUGGCGAAGGCAGCCCCCUGGGCUGAGAUUGACGCUCAGGCACGAAAGCGUGGGGAGCAAACAGG
RNAcentral lists this ribosomal RNA (253 nucleotides) under uncultured bacterium. Its description in RNAcentral is "partial 16S ribosomal RNA". It matches the Rfam family "Bacterial small subunit ribosomal RNA", at positions 524 to 776 of the family's 1533-position model. The record is from RNAcentral.